RNAcentral lists this ribosomal RNA (253 nucleotides) under uncultured bacterium. RNAcentral describes it as "partial 16S ribosomal RNA". It matches the Rfam family "Bacterial small subunit ribosomal RNA", at positions 524 to 776 of the family's 1533-position model. The record is from RNAcentral.
GACAGAGGAUGCAAGCGUUAUCCGGAAUGAUUGGGCGUACAGCGUCCGCAGGUGGCUAUGUAAGUCUGCUGUUAAAGAGUGAGGCUCAACCUCAUAAAAGCAGUGGAAACUACAUGGCUAGAGUGCGUUCGGGGCAGAGGGAAUUCCUGGUGUAGCGGUGAAAUGCGUAGAGAUCAGGAAGAACACCGGUGGCGAAAGCGCUCUGCUAGGCCGCAACUGACACUGAGGGACGAAAGCUAGGGGAGCGAAUGGG